RNAcentral lists this ribosomal RNA (1793 nucleotides) under Listeria monocytogenes. RNAcentral's name for it is "partial 23S ribosomal RNA". It matches the Rfam family "Bacterial large subunit ribosomal RNA", at positions 415 to 2206 of the family's 2925-position model. Lineage: Bacteria; Bacillati; Bacillota; Bacilli; Caryophanales; Listeriaceae. The record is from RNAcentral.
CGGCGGAACACGUGAAAUUCCGUCGGAAUCCGGGAGGACCAUCUCCCAAGGCUAAAUACUCCCUAGUGACCGAUAGUGAACCAGUACCGUGAGGGAAAGGUGAAAAGCACCCCGGAAGGGGAGUGAAACAGUUCCUGAAACCGUGUGCCUACAAGUAGUUAGAGCCCGUUAAUGGGUGAUAGCGUGCCUUUUGUAGAAUGAACCGGCGAGUUACGAUUUGUUGCAAGGUUAAGCGGAAAAAGCGGAGCCGUAGCGAAAGCGAGUCUGAAUAGGGCGCAUAAGUAACAGGUCGUAGACCCGAAACCAGGUGAUCUACCCAUGUCCAGGAUGAAGGUAAGGUAAUACUUACUGGAGGUCCGAACCCACGCACGUUGAAAAGUGCGGGGAUGAGGUGUGGGUAGCGGAGAAAUUCCAAUCGAACUUGGAGAUAGCUGGUUCUCUCCGAAAUAGCUUUAGGGCUAGCCUCGAGGUAAAGAGUCAUGGAGGUAGAGCACUGUUUGGACUAGGGGCCCUUCUCGGGUUACCGAAUUCAGAUAAACUCCGAAUGCCAUGUACUUAUACUCGGGAGUCAGACUGCGAGUGAUAAGAUCCGUAGUCGAAAGGGAAACAGCCCAGACCACCAGUUAAGGUCCCCAAAUAUAUGUUAAGUGGAAAAGGAUGUGGGGUUGCUUAGACAACCAGGAUGUUGGCUUAGAAGCAGCCACCAUUGAAAGAGUGCGUAAUAGCUCACUGGUCGAGUGACCCCGCGCCGAAAAUGUACCGGGGCUAAACAUAUUACCGAAACUGUGGAUGAACCUCUUUAGAGGUUCGUGGUAGGAGAGCGUUCUAAGGGCGGUGAAGUCAGACCGGAAGGACUGGUGGAGCGCUUAGAAGUGAGAAUGCCGGUAUGAGUAGCGAAAGAAGGGUGAGAAUCCCUUCCACCGAAUAUCUAAGGUUUCCUGAGGAAGGCUCGUCCGCUCAGGGUUAGUCGGGACCUAAGCCGAGGCCGAUAGGCGUAGGCGAUGGACAACAGGUAGAGAUUCCUGUACCAGUGCUAAUUGUUUAACCGAUGGGGUGACACAGAAGGAUAGGGAAUCGCACGAAUGGAAAUGUGCGUCCAAGCAGUGAGUGUGAGAAGUAGGCAAAUCCGCUUCUCGCGAAGCAUGAGCUGUGAUGGGGAAGGAAAUUAAGUACGGAAGUUCCUGAUUUCACGCUGUCAAGAAAAGCCUCUAGGAAGAGUAGUACUGCCCGUACCGCAAACCGACACAGGUAGAUGAGGAGAGAAUCCUAAGGUGAGCGAGAGAACUCUCGUUAAGGAACUCGGCAAAAUGACCCCGUAACUUCGGGAGAAGGGGUGCUCUAUUAGGGUGCAAGCCCGAGAGAGCCGCAGUGAAUAGGCCCAGGCGACUGUUUAGCAAAAACACAGGUCUCUGCAAAACCGUAAGGUGACGUAUAGGGGCUGACGCCUGCCCGGUGCUGGAAGGUUAAGAGGAGUGCUUAGCUUCGGCGAAGGUACGAAUUGAAGCCCCAGUAAACGGCGGCCGUAACUAUAACGGUCCUAAGGUAGCGAAAUUCCUUGUCGGGUAAGUUCCGACCCGCACGAAAGGCGCAACGAUCUGGGCACUGUCUCAACGAGAGACUCGGUGAAAUUAUAGUACCUGUGAAGAUGCAGGUUACCCGCGACAGGACGGAAAGACCCCGUGGAGCUUUACUGCAACCUGAUAUGGAAUGUUUGUACCGCUUGUACAGGAUAGGUAGGAGCCGAAGAGACGUGUGCGCUAGCAUACGAGGAGGCAAUGGUGGGAUACUACCCU